This 443-nucleotide ribosomal RNA is filed under the name uncultured bacterium. RNAcentral's name for it is "partial 16S ribosomal RNA". It matches the Rfam family "Bacterial small subunit ribosomal RNA", at positions 338 to 795 of the family's 1533-position model. The record is from RNAcentral.
CCUACGGGGAGCAGCAGUGGGGAAUAUUGGACAAUGGGGGGAACCCUGACCCAGCAACGCCGCGUGAAUGAUGAAGGUCUUCGGAUUGUAAAGUUCUUUUCUAAGGGAAGAAGAAAGUGACGGUACCUGACUAAGAAGCCCCGGCUAACUACGUGCCAGCAGCCGCGGUAAUACGUAGGGGGCAAGCGUUAUCCGGAUUUACUGGGUGUAAAGGGAGCGUAGACGGCGAUGCAAGUCUGAAGUGAAAGGCGGGGGCUCAACCCCCGGACUGCUUUGGAAACUGUAUGGCUGGAGUGCAGGAGAGGUAAGUGGAAUUCCUAGUGUAGCGGUGAAAUGCGUAGAUAUUAGGAGGAACACCAGUGGCGAAGGCGGCUUACUGGACUGUAACUGACGUUGAGGCUCGAAAGCGUGGGGAGCAAACAGGAUUAGAUACCCGGGUAGUC